AUGCUGUGAUGAUGGUUUCACAUCCAGCUGAGUUUCAGAGAUGACCCUUUCUCUUCAGCUGUCUGAGCAU
Molecule: small nucleolar RNA, 70 nt
Organism: Peromyscus leucopus (white-footed mouse)
Lineage: Eukaryota; Metazoa; Chordata; Mammalia; Rodentia; Cricetidae
Product: small nucleolar RNA SNORD53/SNORD92
Exons: 1
Source: RefSeq, a predicted model, not a curated record